CCUACGGGCGGCUGCAGUGGGGUAUAUUGCACAAUGGGCGCAAGCCUGAUGCAGCCAUGCCGCGUGUAUGAAGAAGGCCUUCGGGUUGUAAAGUACUUUCAGCGAGGAGGAAGGCAUUGAGGUUAAUAACCUCAGUGAUUGACGUUACUCGCAGAAGAAGCACCGGCUAACUCCGUGCCAGCAGCCGCGGUAAUACGGAGGGUGCAAGCGUUAAUCGGAAUUACUGGGCGUAAAGCGCACGCAGGCGGUCUGUCAAGUCGGAUGUGAAAUCCCCGGGCUCAACCUGGGAACUGCAUUCGAAACUGGCAGGCUAGAGUCUUGUAGAGGGGGGUAGAAUUCCAGGUGUAGCGGUGAAAUGCGUAGAGAUCUGGAGGAAUACCGGUGGCGAAGGCGGCCCCCUGGACAAAGACUGACGCUCAGGUGCGAAAGCGUGGGGAGCAAACAGGAUUAGAUACCCUUGUAGUC
Molecule: ribosomal RNA, 465 nt
Filed under: uncultured bacterium
Lineage: Bacteria
Description: bacterial SSU rRNA
Rfam family: Bacterial small subunit ribosomal RNA
Source: RNAcentral